GUGACAAUGUGAAUAUUGUAGUGAAAAAUGAUAAAUGCAAAGAAAUAAAAGCUUGGGCUUUACGCAAUAGAGUGUCCCACAAUACAGUGACUGAUUUGCUUCAAACCUUGCGAAAAAUAGGUUUAGUGGAUUUGCCCUUAACAGCAAAAAGUCUAUUAGGUACAAGUAGAAAAAAGGUUAAUAUUGAAACCAUUCCAAGUGGCGCGUUUUUAUAUAGAGGAAUUCAAAAUUAUUUUGAGAAAAAUUCAUUUCCUCACCUUGAAAUAAAAGAUAGCGUUGUACUUGAUAUAGGAAUAGAUGGUCUUAGAUUAUUCAAAAAUUCGAAUAAAGUAUUAUGGCCAAUUUUAGCGUCCAUCGUUGAUUUGCCAAACGAAUUGCCAUUUACAGUAGCAUGUUUUUCUGGAACAGAAAAACCCUGGAAUAUUAACGAUUUCUUAAAAGACUUUUGUGAAGAAGUAGCUUAUUUAAAAGAAAACGGUCUUCAGGUAGGUUCUUCUUCCGUUAAAAAGAAAUUUAACAUUCGUUUAUUUUGCUGUGAUUCUCCCGCUCGAGCUUUUGUCACAGGUGUGCAAUCGCACACUGGAAAAAACAGCUGUUCGAAAUGCGAUCAAAUCGGAGAAUACAAAGAGAGAAGAGUUUGUUUUUCAAAACGAGUUAAUCACUUAAGAACUGACUUGUCUUUUAAAAAUAGAAUUGAUAAAUCACAUCAUAUUAAUCCAUUUAAAUUUAGAGAAAGCAUUUUAGAAUUAGCUAAUUUCAAUAUGGUCUCCCAAUUUCCAUUAGACCCGAUGCAUCUUGUAGAUCUUGGUGUAUGUAAAAAUUUGCUUCAAUUACUAAUUAAAAAAGGGAAUAUAAAUGUAAGCAAAAUUAACGAAAAAAUAACUUUUCUCUCUAGUUUAGUUCCUUCUGAGUUUGGCAGGAUAUGUAAAAGUUUAGAUGAAAUCAGCAAUUGGAAAGCGACAGAGUUUAGGCAGUUUUUAUUGUAUAUAGGCAUAUUUGUCCUAAAAGAUUGUAUUAGUAGUGACCAUUACUACCAUUUUUUAUUAUUGCACGCAGGAAUAAGGCUGUUAUCAUGUGAAAAAUCAUAUAGUACUGAAGCUAACGUUGCCCAACAAAUAUUACAAGAAUUCGUUGAUUUGUUUGGGAAUAUAUACGGAGACCAUUUAGUUAGUUAUAACGUGCAUGGUUUACUGCAUUUAACUGACUGCACUAAGCAAUUCGGUCCUCUAGAUCAGUUUUCAGCCUAUAAGUUUGAAAACCAUAUGCAAUAUUUAAAAAAACUUAUAAAUAAACCGAAUAAAAUCCUUCAGCAAUUGCAUUUAAGACUUGAUGAAAGAACUAAUACAAACAUUGAACCCAACAAAACUUUAAAAAUUAAUUUAUUUAAUAUAGAAUUUAAAAAGGAAAAAGAUUCUUAUUGUUUUAGUGAAAAAUUAGGGCCCAUAAAAGUAAUAACUAUGUCGGACGAAUCUGGUUGCGUUAUGGUAUCUGCACAUUGUUUUUUAGAUGUUGAAAAUUAUUUUGAAGAACCUUUAGAAUCGUCAUCGGGUUUAGGUAUUUUAGUAGCGAAGGAAUUAGACAAAAAGGUAUUUAAAAUCAAAAAAGACGAUAUAGUUUACAAAUAUUUCUCUAUUCCACAUGAGGGAAAGUUUCUCCUUAUACCCAUUCUACAUCAUUUAUUUCAUAAAUUUUCAAAUUAGGAUUUUUAAGUAUUUAUGUACAUAUAUUUUUCUCGGCUCAUUUUAUUACAUUUUCUUAAAUUUUUGGAAAAGAACUUUGAUACUGCCAAUUUUUAUUUCUCAAUUAGAUGGAAAAUAUAUUUGACGAAAUUGACUUAGAGGAUUGUCCAACAACGUCUUCAACUCCCGCAAAAGACCAAUUACAUUUAAAGCAUAAAAAGUUUAACACGUCUGGUUGCUACAAUACAGAGGUCAGCAUUUCAAAACGACCUGUGGAAGGAAACGAGGUUAUUGACAUUUUAACCACUAUUUCCAAACAGCUUGACGAUUUGACGACGAGGGUAUGCGAUUUGGAAACUAAAAUCGAUAAGCAUUUAAAGGAAAAUAUUAUUCAUAAAAGUGAAGAAAUGGCGCAGCAAAAAACGGUUCGUGAAUGCAAGGUCCUCAUCCGCAAAAUUCAUCAAUCGGUAUGCCGAAUGACUGGUGAAGAUGUCGACAACGUUCAAACAGAAAUUGCUUCCACCCUACCAUUAAAUACGCUUGCUGCAGCUUUGGAAAUGGACGAAAAAUUGAAAUGCGACGAAUUUGCUGCUACAACGAAACAAUUCGUUUUGAGGAUAAAAGGUACUUCAGAUAGUGUACAUGAUGUGUUGCGAAGUCUGUACACUGAUGAACUUCUUUAUUUAUGUAACUGGGACGGUAGGGGUGGGAAGCAACCUCUCUCCAAAUUCCUGCUGGUUUCCAACAUUUUAUACGAUUCAUUCAUAACGUAUGGAUUGGCAAUGUUCGAAAAACAAGUUCGAAAAGCCAUUGAAAUGAGCCACCAUAGGCACAAACAAAGAAUUUAUAGGAAGAGGAAAACUGAGGAGUGAACCCUUUAAAUAAUUAAUAAAAAGUUACAUGUAUUUCUGAUAUUAUUAAAAAUAAUUAUUUUAAUACAUACUAGAUUUUAAGAAAGCAUUGCAAAGCAGGAAUUGAAUUAAUAAUGAAAUAUUUAUUUUAAUUUAA
RNA transcript from Bactrocera neohumeralis, 2687 nucleotides. RefSeq lists it as uncharacterized. NCBI's taxonomy places the organism in Eukaryota, Metazoa, Arthropoda, Insecta, Diptera, Tephritidae. The transcript is spliced from 6 exons. The record is from RefSeq and is a predicted model, not a curated record.